RNAcentral lists this ribosomal RNA (440 nucleotides) under uncultured bacterium. Its description in RNAcentral is "partial 16S ribosomal RNA". It matches the Rfam family "Bacterial small subunit ribosomal RNA", at positions 338 to 795 of the family's 1533-position model. The record is from RNAcentral.
CCUACGGGGGGCAGCAGUGGGGGAUAUUGCACAAUGGGGGAAACCCUGAUGCAGCGACGCCGCGUGUGGGAAGACGGUCUUCUGGAUUGUAAACCACUGUCCCCAGGGACGAAAAUGACGGUACCUGGGGAGGAAGCUCCGGCUAACUACGUGCCAGCAGCCGCGGUAAUACGUAGGGAGCAAGCGUUGUCCGGAAUUACUGGGUGUAAAGGGAGCGUAGGCGGGGAUGCAAGUUGGGUGUCAAAACUACCGGCUCAACCGAUAGUCGCACUCAAAACUGCAACUCUUGAGUGAAGUAGAGGCAGGCGGAAUUCCGAGUGUAGCGGUGAAAUGCGUAGAUAUUAGGAGGAACACCAGUGGCGAAAGCGGCCUGCUGGGCUUUUACUGACGCUGAGGCUCGAAAGUGUGGGGAGCAAACAGGAUUAGAUACCCUAGUAGUC